Molecule: long non-coding RNA, 441 nt
Organism: Dermacentor silvarum
Lineage: Eukaryota; Metazoa; Arthropoda; Arachnida; Ixodida; Ixodidae
Exons: 3
Source: RefSeq, a predicted model, not a curated record
GUCGAAGCAGACAAGAUGCGAUCACAGUGUAUAAAUAAGGGAAACACUCGCUCGAUCCUUGUUUGAAAGUAGCCAUCAUGCAGCUGAAGGUUCUGGUACUGUUGGCAGGCGUCAUUGCAGUUGCCUGUGAAGAGACGCCGGUGACGAUCGAGUGGCCACCGCGUCCGCGGGCGUGCGGUGAAGGCGAGACGUGGAAGCAGUGCGUGAGCGGCAGCUGCGCCGAGGCCACCUGCGCUCGGCCACAGGUGGGGCCGCAGUGCACCUCCGACUGCCGCUACGGCUGCUACUGCGCCGACGGUUUCUACCGGAACGAGCAGAAGGUGUGCGUCACCCGCGACAGGUGCCCGUAGCAGUGGUCGCCGAGCAAGACAUCGAGGCCAUGUGAUCACCAUGGCCUGCGUCUACCCCUGCGAAUUUCAAAUAAAGUUUCCUUGAAACAGU